GACGAACGCUGGCGGCGUGCUUAACACAUGCAAGUCGAACGCUGAAGCUCAGCUUUUGUUGGGUGGAUGAGUGGCGAACGGGUGAGUAACACGUGAGUAACCUGCCCCCUUCUUUGGGAUAACGCCCGGAAACGGGUGCUAAUACUGGAUAUUCACUGGUCUUCGCAUGGGGGUUGGUGGAAAGGGUUUUUCUGGUGGGGGAUGGGCUCGCGGCCUAUCAGCUUGUUGGUGGGGUGAUGGCCUACCAAGGCUUUGACGGGUAGCCGGCCUGAGAGGGUGACCGGUCACAUUGGGACUGAGAUGCGGCCCAGACUCCUACGGGAGGCAGCAGUGGGGAAUAUUGCACAAUGGGCGCAAGCCUGAUGCAGCGACGCCGCGUGAGGGAUGGAGGCCUUAGGGUUGUGAACCUCUUUCGCUCAUGGUCAAGCCGCAACCAUGGUUGUGGUGAGGGUAGUGAGUAAAGAAGCGCCGGCUAACUACGUG
RNAcentral lists this ribosomal RNA (483 nucleotides) under uncultured bacterium. Its description in RNAcentral is "partial 16S ribosomal RNA". It matches the Rfam family "Bacterial small subunit ribosomal RNA", at positions 28 to 507 of the family's 1533-position model. The record is from RNAcentral.